Molecule: long non-coding RNA, 601 nt
Filed under: Oryza sativa (Asian cultivated rice)
Lineage: Eukaryota; Viridiplantae; Streptophyta; Magnoliopsida; Poales; Poaceae
Description: long non-coding RNA (OSAT_LNC001226)
Source: RNAcentral
UGUUCUCUGCCUCUUCAUCAAUUUGGUCUCCAGGUUCUGAGGUAGUCUUUGUCCAGAGCAAUUGGCCUAGUACUAUCAGACUGUUGUCUCUGCCCUGCACUUUCCGAAAAGAGCAACUUGCAGCAGUUAGUAACUUCAUACAUUUGCGUUACCUAGACCUCAGAUGGUCACGCCUUGAAGAAUUACCUGAAGCCGUAUGCAAGCUUUACCUACUACAAGUUUUGAACAUAAAGCACUGUCCGUGCCUUCUUCAUUUACCUCCAAGGAUAGCCAACUUAUUAAACUUUGAGCAUCUGAUUGCUGAUGAAGGAAAACAUUUACUCACAGGAGUUCCAUGUGUUGGCAAUAUGACUUCCUUGCUUCUGUUGGAUAAGUUCUGUGUUAGGAAAACCAGGGGCUUUGACAUUGGACAACUGAAAAGGUUGAGGAACCUAAGAGGUUUGUUGAAAGUUCAGAAUCUCGAGAAUGUUGAUGGCAAUGAAGAAGCAGCAAAGGCUAGAUUGAGUGACAAAAGGCACCUAACUGAGCUGUGGCUGUCAUGGAGUGCCGGUUCUUGUGUACAAGAGCCUUCAGAACAAUACCACGUCCUGGAAGGUCUUGC